RNAcentral lists this ribosomal RNA (708 nucleotides) under Micrococcus luteus. RNAcentral's name for it is "bacterial SSU rRNA". It matches the Rfam family "Bacterial small subunit ribosomal RNA", at positions 96 to 818 of the family's 1533-position model. Lineage: Bacteria; Bacillati; Actinomycetota; Actinomycetes; Micrococcales; Micrococcaceae. The record is from RNAcentral.
UGGCGAACGGGUGAGUAACACGUGAGUAACCUGCCCUUAACUCUGGGAUAAGCCUGGGAAACUGGGUCUAAUACCGGAUAGGAGCGUCUACCGCAUGGUGGGUGUUGGAAAGAUUUAUCGGUUUUGGAUGGACUCGCGGCCUAUCAGCUUGUUGGUGAGGUAAUGGCUCACCAAGGCGACGACGGGUAGCCGGCCUGAGAGGGUGACCGGCCACACUGGGACUGAGACACGGCCCAGACUCCUACGGGAGGCAGCAGUGGGGAAUAUUGCACAAUGGGCGCAAGCCUGAUGCAGCGACGCCGCGUGAGGGAUGACGGCCUUCGGGUUGUAAACCUCUUUCAGUAGGGAAGAAGCGAAAGUGACGGUACCUGCAGAAGAAGCACCGGCUAACUACGUGCCAGCAGCCGCGGUAAUACGUAGGGUGCGAGCGUUAUCCGGAAUUAUUGGGCGUAAAGAGCUCGUAGGCGGUUUGUCGCGUCUGUCGUGAAAGUCCGGGGCUUAACCCCGGAUCUGCGGUGGGUACGGGCAGACUAGAGUGCAGUAGGGGAGACUGGAAUUCCUGGUGUAGCGGUGGAAUGCGCAGAUAUCAGGAGGAACACCGAUGGCGAAGGCAGGUCUCUGGGCUGUAACUGACGCUGAGGAGCGAAAGCAUGGGGAGCGAACAGGAUUAGAUACCCUGGUAGUCCAUGCCGUAAACGUUGGGCACUA